Camellia sinensis is the source of this 608-nucleotide long non-coding RNA. RefSeq lists it as uncharacterized. The record is from RefSeq and is a predicted model, not a curated record. NCBI's taxonomy places the organism in Eukaryota, Viridiplantae, Streptophyta, Magnoliopsida, Ericales, Theaceae.
CACGGUAAACAUCAUCAAAAAAUUCUUCCCCACACACUCUCUCUCUCUCUCUCUUCUCUUUUCCUCGCAGUCGCUCAUCGUUCUACGCCGUCACGGCCGUUGCUCGCACUGUCGCGGUUGUCGCUUGCUGCGGCAGGUCCGCCGCAUAUCCCGCCAUCGUCACAGGCGAAGUAGUAUGGGGUCUGAUCAAUCCAGUUGUUGUAUAGAGACAACAAAUCUAAGAAGUAUCUACUCGUUGGGACCAUUCUCGCUUUGUUGUUUAGUUUCUCUCCGACGAGAACGUACUCUAUGUCUCUCUCUGUUUGUGUGUUCUAUUUUCAGAUCUGAAUCAGAUGGUGAAGAGCUUGUAUAUUUUUCUGUGUUUGGUUGCUAAGAAAUAUAAAAAGAAAUUAAUUCGUUUUAGAAAUUUCAGUUAAUGUUAAUCAAGAUAAUGUGUGUUUUGGUUAUUCUUGCAUGUAGGGUUUGGAUUUCUUGUGAUUUGAAAAUCUCUACUUUUGCCUUUUUCUUUUUUCUUUUGGUUUCUCUACUAUUGUUGUUUAGUUCUUAAUUUAAAUGAUACAUUUGUGGUUCUGGAAACAAAAUAUUUUUUCUUGUUUCUUGAGUGUUAA